CAAAACACUGAAGUAGAACGGAGCAGCCAUGGAGAAGCAGAGUGAGUGGCGCCUCCACGGCGGCCACUACCUCGGAGAAAUCUCAGCCCUCUGUUUACUCCACGCGCCACCUCUCCCUCACUUCUCUUCUCUCCCCUAUCUCCUUGCUGGCACAGGAUCGCAAGUUUUACUCUACGAUUUGGAGUCCGUGAAAAUACUGAGGUCCUUUCAUGUGUUAGAAGGAAUUAGAGUGCAUGGAAUUGCUUGCCGCUUGGUUGAUUGUAAAGAAGGAUCGGUAUUGUCGGUUAAGAUUGCUGUUUUCGGGGAAAGGAGAGUAAAGUUGUUUAAUUUACGGAUUGAGAUGGUUCCUGAAUCCCAAGAUGAGCCCCAAGUGUGUUUGGAGUUGACUCUGUUGCAUUCGUUGCCGAAAUUCAGUCACUGGGUUUUAGAUGUUUGCUUCUUCAAGGAGGACAUUGCGACUUCUUCACAUUGUCUUGUGGUGGGAUGUAGCGAUAAUUCGGUCCAUCUCUGGGAUAUGUUAACGUCCAGUUCGAUUCUUGAAGUUAGGAAUCCAGAGAGGUGCCUUCUUUAUUCCAUGCGGUUAUGGGGUGAUGAACUUCAAAACCUCCUUGUUGCAUCUGGUACUAUCUAUAAUGAGAUUAUUGUUUGGAAAGCAGUUCCUCAGAACUGCACUCCAAGUUUGGGAAGUUCAGUGAAAGACCACAUUAAUUCGAGUAGUUCUUUCUGCAACGGCUUCAAUCAUUAUAGUCAGCAAUAUCAAGCUCUUAAUAUAUGUAGACUUGCUGGACAUGAAGGUUCAAUUUUUCGCCUAGCAUGGUCCUCCAAUGGAUCCAAACUGGUGUCUGUCUCUGAUGAUCGGAGUGCUCGUAUCUGGCCAAUUCAUGCAGAAAGGGAAGUUUCUGAUAACUCAGGAGAGAUUGUUGACACAGGCUCUGCUGGUCCUGUGCUAUUUGGUCACAAUGCUAGGAUUUGGGACUGCUGUAUUUUAGAUUCUUUAAUUGUAACUGCUGGCGAGGAUUGUACAUGUCGUGUGUGGGGAACAGAUGGUAACCAGCUUAAGAUGAUCAAAGAGCACAUAGGAAGGGGUGUAUGGCGAUGUUUGUAUGAUCCAAAGUUUUCACUUCUUGUUACUGCUGGGUUUGACUCUGCUAUCAAAGUGCAUCAGCUACAAGCUUCUUUGCCUAAGGCCCCACAGGAACAGGUUGCGGAGGUAAAAGAGUUGAUUGACAGAACGGAGAUAUUCACUGUUUGUAUCCCAAAUUCAUCAGAACAUACUGGACUUAUGGACAGCAAAAGUGAAUAUGUGCGUUCCCUGCGUUUCACAUGUGAAAAUAGUCUCUAUAUUUCCACAAACCGUGGUUAUCUUUACCAUGCUAAAUUAUUUGAUACAGGAGAUGUAAAAUGGACUGAACUUAUCCAUGUCAGUGAAGAGGUGCCAAUUGUUUGUAUGGACUUACUGUCUAGAAAUGGACCCAAGCUUUCCAGUGGUGUUGAGGAUUGGAUUGCUGUUGGAGAUGGUAAAGGAAACAUGACAGUCACUGGAAUUGUUAGUGAUCUUUGCCCUCCUAAAGUAGGCCUCACUUAUACUUGGUCAGCUGGAAUAGAGAGGCAGCUCUUAGGAACAUUUUGGUGCAAGUCCUUGGGAUAUAGGUACAUUUUCACUGCUGAUCCAAGAGGAAAGUUGAAGUUAUGGAGGUUAUGUAAUCCUUCACAAUCAGCUUCUCAAAAUUCUGCAAUCAGUAACAAUGUGUCUCUAAUAGCAGAGUUCAUAUCCAGUUUUAAUAUACGGAUAAUGUGUUUGGAUGCCUCAUCUGAGGAAGAGGUGCUGAUAUGUGGAGAUCUACGUGGUAAUUUGAUUUUAUACCCUUUAUUGAGGAGUAUAUUGGUGGGUUCAUCUUUUGGAUCAGAAGUGAAGAUUACUCCAUUGACUUAUUUCAAAGGAGCUCAUGGGAUAUCAAGCGUGUCUGGCAUUUCGAUAGCAGGAUUUGUUUCCAAUCAAAUUGAAAUACAAUCUACUGGUGGAGAUGGGUGCAUAUGCUAUUUGGAAUAUCGCAGAGAUCAACAGAAUUUGCAGUUUAUAGGGAUGAAACGGGUGAAAGAAUUGAGUUUGGUCCAGUCCGUCUCUUCUGGUGCUGACUCUGUUGAUGAUUUGACAAGCAGCAAGUAUGCAAUUGGUUUUGCAUCAACAGAUUUCAUAAUAUGGAACUUAAUAACUGAGACAAAGGUUGUGCAAGUCCCAUGUGGUGGAUGGCGGCGUCCCCAUUCUUAUUAUCUUGGUGAUGUACCAGAGAUGAGAAACUGCUUUGCAUAUGUUAAGGAUGAAAUAAUUUAUAUUCAUAGAUUCUGGAUUCCAGAGAGUGAAAGGAAAAUAUUUCCUCAGAAUCUGCAUAUUCAAUUUCAUGGGAGAGAGAUGCAUUCCUUAUGUUUUGUGUCUAGGGAUUCACAAGUUGGGUUAAAUGGAAAGCAUGACCUCUCUUCUAGAUCUAGCUGGAUUGCUACUGGGUGUGAAGAUGGCACUGUGAGGUUGACAAGGUAUUCGCCCGGUGUUGAGAAUUGGUUUUCAUCACAAUUGCUUGGAGAGCAUGUUGGUGGAUCAGCUGUGAGGUCAAUAUGCCCUGUAUCAAAGAUACACACAAUUCCAGCAGAUGCGACAAACAUGCCAAAUGUGACACACAGACAACAUGCUACCUGGGACGGCAGAGAGGAUCCAUUCUUGCUAAUUUCUGUUGGUGCAAAACGGGUCAUAACUUCUUGGGUACUAAGAACUAGUACAAUAGACAACAAGGGAGAAGCGUCAGAUGAUGGAGUGCAGGAUAAAACUGGGAAGGGCUUUCCAUCAAUGUCAUUCCAGUGGCUUUCCACUGACAUGCCAACCAAGUAUUCUGGUAUUCGUAAGAAAACAGAAGACUUGGAGAACAUAGUUGGAAUUAAAAAAGCUUCGAGUGUGAAUAUUGAUGCAGAGUCUAGAUCACUCUUCCCAGAAAGAAAAGAGAUGCAAUUGAGAACUUGCAUUGGGGACAUGUAUGAAAAUGACUGGAGAUACCUUGCUGUUACUGCUUUUCUUGUUAAAGAUCCUGUUUCCAGAAUUACUGUCUGUUUCAUUGUUGUUGGUUGUUCUGACGCCACACUUUCUCUGCGGGCUCUCAUUUUACCCAGUCGACUUUGGUUUGAUGUUGCUUUAUUGGUUCCCCAGUCAUCCCCAGUUUUGGCAUUGCAACAUGCUAUCAUCCCUUUAUUUCAGCCUUCUGAAGAGAAGAUUCAGAUUGGAAAUGCAUAUAUUGCAAUCAGUGGAUCUACUGAUGGCAGUAUUGCCUUCUGGGAUCUGACUGAAAGUGUUGAAAACUUCAUGCUGCGGGCAUCAACUCUCCAUACAGAAAACUCUAUUGAUUGUCAGAAACGACCACGCACUGGAAGAGGAAGCCAAGGUGGACGAUGGUGGAGAUCAUUAGGCACCACUCCUAAGAAAAAACCCAGCGGCGGCUCAGUUUCCAUGAGAGUUGAAGAAGGAACUGGUGUUCUAAAUUAUGUUGCAUGUGGAACCUCUUCAAAACUUAAUGAUCCUGAAAACACUCCAACUGCUUGUUCUCAAGCGAUGUUCACUGCUUCCCUUGAGUCAGAAGUGAAUAUAGAUGAUUCCUCAUCAGAAAUAUGUGAAAUAUCACCCUUACAUGUUUUGAGUAGCAUUCACCAAUCCGGGGUCAACUGUCUCCACAUUUCAGAUAUGAAUCAUUGUCAAAGUUUUAACAAUGGUUUUCUGUAUUAUCUUUUAAGUGGGGGCGAUGAUCAAGCACUUCAUUGUCUUGGAUUUGAUUUGACACUGCUACCAACAAGCUCAGAGUCUCAGAUUAAGGCAGUAAAUGUAGAAAAUCCAACAACCAAAUUUGAAGAUAUAAAGAACUUAAAUCAUUGUAAACAGAACAAGAAUUACAGAAUCAGAUUUUUAUACCAUGACAGGGUAGCCUCAGCUCACAAUUCUGCUGUGAAAGGUAUUUGGACAGAUGGGACGUGGGUGUUUUCUACUGGUCUUGAUCAGCGUGUCAGAUGCUGGUAUCUUGGUGAGCAUGGUAAAUUAAUUGAACAAGCUCAUUUAGUAAUUAGUGUGCCUGAGCCAGAGGCAUUGGACGCUAGAGCCUGUGGCAGGAACCAUUAUCAGAUUGCAGUAGCUGGAAGAGGGAUGCAAAUGGUUGAGUUCUCUGUAUCCCCUGACAUGGAUGGCAGAGGCGCAGAUGGCUUCUGCUGAUUUUGUGUUUCAAUCCAUAAGCUUUUGAGGAUGGGUAUGUGGUGAAACCCAUCAUUUGAGGGGUUUAAACUUUGAAAGAUCUGAUUUAAAGAAUCGACUGCUCAGAGUGCGCUACCCUUUUAACUUGUCACCAAGAUCUGAAAAGACUGCCGUUUAGAUCUGGGAAAGAUGCUUCACUUAAGGAGUAUAAAGAUGUCAUAUGACUCAUUUCUGCAUCAACUGACCUUGCGGGUGCUCCUAUCUCAACUUGCCCACAAUUUUUUAUUCAUCACUGAUGACCACACCAAUUUUCUUCUGAGAAGGGCUUUCAAAAGAUUGAAGGUUAUGUAUUUUAGUAGCCAUUGCUGAGUUCUGAUCUGACUAGUGAAGCUGUCCCAUGCAGCUCGAUCCAGAUGAUAUAUAUUUUCUCUUUUUUCUUUUUGUAUAACAAGUUAGAUUUUGUUCAAUUUGGACGCCCAUUGAUUUUAGUACUUCUAAUCAUGAUGAAUACCAUACAUUACAUGGCAU
Molecule: RNA transcript, 4747 nt
Organism: Vitis riparia (riverbank grape)
Lineage: Eukaryota; Viridiplantae; Streptophyta; Magnoliopsida; Vitales; Vitaceae
Exons: 22
Source: RefSeq, a predicted model, not a curated record